Molecule: transfer RNA, 85 nt
Organism: Felis catus (domestic cat)
Lineage: Eukaryota; Metazoa; Chordata; Mammalia; Carnivora; Felidae
Rfam family: tRNA
About the family: Transfer RNA (tRNA) molecules are approximately 80 nucleotides in length.
Source: Rfam
GCCUGGGUGGCUCAGUCGGUUAAGCAUCUGACUUUGGCUCAGGUCAUGAUCUUGUGGUUUGUGAGUUCAAGCCCCACAUCCGGCU